RNAcentral lists this ribosomal RNA (406 nucleotides) under uncultured bacterium. Its description in RNAcentral is "partial 16S ribosomal RNA". It matches the Rfam family "Bacterial small subunit ribosomal RNA", at positions 30 to 526 of the family's 1533-position model. The record is from RNAcentral.
AUUGAACGCUGGCGGCAGGCCUAACACAUGCAAGUCGAACGAGUGGCGGACGGGUGAGUAAUGUCUGGGAAACUGCCCGAUGGAGGGGGAUAACUACUGGAAACGGUAGCUAAUACCGCAUACCAUCGGAUGUGCACAGAUGGGAUUAGCUAGUAGGUGGGGUAAUGGCUCAGCUAGGCGACGAUCCCUAGCUGGUCUGAGAGGAUGACCAGCCACAAUGGAACUGAGACACUGUCCAGAGUCCUACGUGAGGCAGCAGUGGGAAAGAUUGCACAAGGGGCGCAAGCCUGAUGCAGCCAGGCCGCGUGUAUGAAGAAGGCCUUCGGGUUGUAAAGGACGUUCAUCGAGGAGGCGUUACUCGCAGAAGAAGCACCGGCUAACUCCGUGCCAGCAGCCGCGGUAAUUC